UACGGGGGGAGCAAGCGUUGUUCGGAUUUACUGGGCGUAAAGGGCGCGUGGGCGGUCAGCACAAGUCAGUUGUGAAAUCUCCGGGCUUAACUCGGAAAGGUCAACUGAUACUGUGCGACUAGAGUGCGGAAGGGGCAACUGGAAUUCUCGGUGUAGCGGUGAAAUGCGUAGAUAUCGAGAGGAACACCUGCGGCGAAGGCGGGUUGCUGGGCCGACACUGACGCUGAUGCGCGAAAGCGUGGGGAGCAAACAGG
This 254-nucleotide ribosomal RNA is filed under the name uncultured bacterium. Its description in RNAcentral is "partial 16S ribosomal RNA". It matches the Rfam family "Bacterial small subunit ribosomal RNA", at positions 524 to 776 of the family's 1533-position model. The record is from RNAcentral.